Molecule: transfer RNA, 79 nt
Filed under: Mycobacterium tuberculosis
Lineage: Bacteria; Bacillati; Actinomycetota; Actinomycetes; Mycobacteriales; Mycobacteriaceae
Description: tRNA-Trp(cca)
Source: RNAcentral
CGACCGGCUGGGACGACGAGAAAGCCUCCGGUCUUCCAGGGACCGGAGGCUUUUUCGGUUCAUCACCCGGCUCGGCCGG